Molecule: long non-coding RNA, 312 nt
Filed under: Sorghum bicolor (sorghum)
Lineage: Eukaryota; Viridiplantae; Streptophyta; Magnoliopsida; Poales; Poaceae
Description: long non-coding RNA (SBIC_LNC010699)
Source: RNAcentral
UGCACAUGAAGCACCACUUAUAUACUAAGAGACUAGUAGUAAGGAUCCAUGUGGUCUGUAUAGCAUUUAAUUUGUAAGAAAAUGUAUCUAAGUCCUGACCUAUCGUGACAUGUGCGAUGACAAUAGCCAUCUUUAAGUACCAAAUAAAACUAAAAUUUGCUCUCUAAGUUUCAUGUUUAGCUACUGUCACUUGCUCACCUGAGAUAAGAGCCAAGCAGCUUAUGUGCUGCCCACCUGCUUUUGCACAAGAACUGAAGCUGAAAUUGUUGCUGGAAUCGAUAAACAAAGGACCCCCAUGUUGCUCUUCUGAAC